RNAcentral lists this ribosomal RNA (429 nucleotides) under uncultured bacterium. RNAcentral's name for it is "bacterial SSU rRNA". It matches the Rfam family "Bacterial small subunit ribosomal RNA", at positions 917 to 1344 of the family's 1533-position model. The record is from RNAcentral.
GGACCCGCACAAGUAGUGGAGCAUGUGGUUUAAUUCGAAGAUACGCGCAGAACCUUACCAACACUUGACAUGUUCGUCGCGACUUUAAGAGAUUAAAGUUUUCGGUUCGGCCGGACGAAACACAGGUGCUGCAUGGCUGUCGUCAGCUCGUGUCGUGAGAUGUUGGGUUAAGUCCCGCAACGAGCGCAACCCUCACUUUUAGUUGCCAUCAUUAAGUUGGGCACUCUGAAAGAACUGCCAGUGAUAAGCUGGAGGAAGGUGGGGAUGACGUCAAGUCCUCAUGGCCCUUACGUGUUGGGCUACACACGUGCUACAAUGGUAUCUACAACAGGAAGCAAGACUGCGAGGUCAAGCAAAUCCUAAAAAGAUACCUCAGUUCGGAUUGCACUCUGCAACUCGAGUGCAUGAAGCUGGAAUUACUAGUAAUCG